Molecule: ribosomal RNA, 505 nt
Filed under: uncultured bacterium
Lineage: Bacteria
Description: bacterial SSU rRNA
Rfam family: Bacterial small subunit ribosomal RNA
Source: RNAcentral
CUGGCGGCGUGCCUAAUACAUGCAAGUCGAGCGAGCGGAACCAACAGAUUUACUUCGGUAAUGACGUUUGGGAAAGCGAGCGGCGGAUGGGUGAGUAACACGUGGGGAACCUGCCCCUAAGUCUGGGAUACCAUUUGGAAACAGGUGCUAAUACCGGAUAAUAAAGCAGAUCGCAUGAUCAGCUUUUGAAAGGCGGCGUAAGCUGUCGCUAAGGGAUGGCCCCGCGGUGCAUUAGCUAGUUGGUAAGGUAACGGCUUACCAAGGCGACGAUGCAUAGCCGAGUUGAGAGACUGAUCGGCCACAUUGGGACUGAGACACGGCCCAAACUCCUACGGGAGGCAGCAGUAGGGAAUCUUCCACAAUGGACGCAAGUCUGAUGGAGCAACGCCGCGUGAGUGAAGAAGGUUUUCGGAUCGUAAAGCUCUGUUGUUGGUGAAGAAGGAUAGAGGUAGUAACUGGCCUUUAUUUGACGGUAAUCAACCAGAAAGUCACGGCUAACUACGUG